CCCGGGACAGUGCCGGGAGGCGGGCAGAGCAGCGGGGGUGGAAGGCCGCCGUUCAGCCCGCCCGCCCGUCCCACACGCCGGAACGCGACUCCCAGAUAGACCCCGGCAGAAGCGGGAGGUCGCACCGCGAGCUAUGCAAACUCUGAACGCGCCACGUGCCAGACAUGAAGCUAAGAGCCGUUGGAUAGGGACGAAUUAGAGGCGGUUCCUCGAUCGCGCCAAAGCAUGUGCACAUAGACACAGACAACCAGUAUGCCUAGAAGAUGGUGAGGAGAGGUACAAAUAAAGUGCUAGGGGAGAUCAGGAAAGAUUGUUUCCAGUGGGGAAUUUAGCAAAGACUUCUUGGAGUAGGUGACAUUAUUUAAGCUGGAAUUGAAAUGAGGGUAAAAUUUGGACAAGAAACACUGUUGGUUGCGGGUGGGGGAUGGAGUAAUGAAGAUAGCAAAGGCUUUUGAAGUUGCAAUGUCUGUUACUAGGUUGAGAUGCAUAAAACUGCUGAUGUUUUACUGGUUUUGACCUACAAUAACAUCAGUUUCUGAUGGUUCAACAUAAUACUUAGCAGAUACGAUGUGGAGCUGAGAAAACACAGGUUGUAGAGAGAAAACAGGACAGGACAAGUUCAAUACCUGUCAAUAUCUGGUAAAAUCAACAUUAAUUUUACCUUGUAAUCAUGUGUUGAUAGAGAUUUUCUGGCGAUGGCAUUUUCUACUUUCUCAAAAGGGGACUCAUAUUAUAAAGUUUGUUGUCCAAAGACUAGUCAAAGACUUUGAGCUUUACAAUCAGACUGAAUUGACAAGUCACAGGAAGGCAGGAUGGUCCCCCAUUCUGAAAUAUUUGAGUUUAGAUUCCAACUCCACCACUCUCUGAGCCUCACUUUGUCUCCUGAAACAUGGUGAUAAUAAUACUUACCUUCCUCCCAAGGUGGUUGAGACAAUUAAAUGAGAUGGUGCUCUGCAUUGCUUAGCACAAUACCCAGCCUUGGGAAGCACCAGGAGCUGUUUGCAGGGUUAUGAUUUAUGUCAAAGCACAAUAAGCACCAGAUAGUGACACCAUGCCCACAGUCGCAAAGGGAGUUCCAUCUUGCUGAGAGGCAGAGCUUGUUUAGAUGGAGGUGGAAGGUCUGUGACCUAUUUUAGUCAUAGGUAGAAGAGGGGGAAAGAAGAGACAAGAAAAUAUGUGAUGUUUCAGUUUCUCAGGUCAAGAAUGACAGGCAUAACAGGAUGCUCCGCAUGGUCCUAUUAUACCAUCAGUUGCUUAGCAAACCUAGUAAGGAAUUUCAUGUUCUCAGGCCUCCCCUGGCAGGUCUGCCUGGCUCAGAGGUGGAUUUCUUUUUUAGCAAAAGGGUUUUUGAAAAGUACCAAGUCAACCAUCCUGGAGUGGUUCCCAGGAAAACAGUGUGGAUAUCGGCAAGGGCAGGCUUGCUUGGGCACCAGAGGCUCAGGAGAAACUGGCACUCAGCUUUCCAGGAAAAAGAAGCUUAGCCACUCUCGGGAAAAUCUAAAACCAGAGAGGUGAGCUGAAGUGCACGUCUGAAUCAGAAAGCCCAGGGUCAAGACAGACACCUGGGCCAGACUAAUGUUGGCUGUGCAGGGCACGGGUGGCUCACCCAUCUUGGUCCCCAGCCUCCCUCUUCAUUCCAAAGCGCUCUCCUGCUGGGUUGGGGAAAUGUCCUGCCACCAGCAGAAAGACUAGCUUGUGCAUUUGAAAAUAAUUGUUGAUUAGGGUUUUUAAAUGACACUUAGAAUUCUAAAGCAAAAGAGGAUUUGUUAUGGGGCACUACUGAGUAAGAAACAGUAUCAGGGAACAUUCUCUGGCAGCUCCCCAGCCCCCAAUUGGUAGUGGUCUUUGGUGAACAAGGGACAGAGUGUGCAGGGCCAGCUGUAUUUCUUGCAGGUUCCUGAGGCCAACUCAGCUGGCAUCUUCCCAUUUUUCUCUUCAUGUCACAUGCCCCUUUCCCCAGUGAGAACUGGUGGUGCUGAGGGCAGAAGUGAGUGUUAAGCAUCGGGGACAGCAUUGUCUUUGGGCAACAGAGAGCCUUGUAAAAGCCCCAAGAGAAGUUCUUCUCUCUGCAGCCCUAAAAAUUUUUCCUGCAGUCUAAAUUUAUCAUUCAACUCGCCACUUCCAGUCCUGCUGACAAGUCGGAUAGUGGCUCUGGCCAGGAGCAAUGGCAGAGACAGCAGCAGGGCUUUUGACAAUCUUACCAGACCACAAGAAGAAGAAAAAGAACCACCUCAAACUGCUGGGCUUGCAAAGUCUGGGUGAUUGAACAGUAGAUUCUGCAUCGGGAUACGAGUUGUAAAAGUCCCAGGAGAUUCAAAUAGGCGAGCUGCUUUUUUAUAAGUGAACUUUGUUACUUCAAUAAGACUUUUAAGUUCACAUCUCUCA
Non-coding RNA from Microcebus murinus (gray mouse lemur), 2385 nucleotides. Lineage: Eukaryota; Metazoa; Chordata; Mammalia; Primates; Cheirogaleidae. The record is from RefSeq and is a predicted model, not a curated record.